RNAcentral lists this long non-coding RNA (815 nucleotides) under Marmota monax (woodchuck). The record is from RNAcentral. Lineage: Eukaryota; Metazoa; Chordata; Mammalia; Rodentia; Sciuridae.
GCCAGCAGAAUGCAUUUUGAUCAUUGUACACAAAUGGAACACUACUUUUCAUCUCUCUGGUUGUACAUGAUGUAGAGUCAUACCAUUUGUGCAAUCAUACAUGGUCCUAGGGUAGUGAUGUCCGUAGGUAGUGGAAUAAGGAUGGGAUUUGAAGAACUGCAGAGGCAGAGCCCCAGGGAGCUCCGCCAUUACCUAGAGAAUUCCACACUGUAACCGAGCUGUCGCUCACAGACUCCAGGAGAAGCCAGAGCCUUGGAACUGCAAAGUCAAGGAAGGUCUGACUGAAGACCUGGGUCCGGCCCCUUGUCCUGUUGCUUCCAGAUGAUGUUGCACAUACUGGGCCGGGGAGGCCACCUCACGCCACAGGCUGUGAUUAUACUUGCAUUUCAGUCACUGGUCAUUUAUGUGUGGGAACAAAGGCCAGUGGUCUCAUGGUCUCAUGUUUAAUGGCACUUCUUUUUUUUUUUUUUUUGCAUGUGGGCAGCUGCCUGUAAAUAUUUAUGAAAUGAAUGAUUUUUUUUUUUGGAAAUUUUUAUUGCCUAAAAUAGUUCCCUUUCCCCAAUUCUAGUUGUUUGUUGGUUAUUUUGAAGCCUAAGUUAAAGGAAUCUCUUCAGCUCUGAAGUAGAAGCUUUAGAAGUGAAAGGUCUGGUAAACGUGUAGUGACUGGUGAUGGAUUCCAGUUGGAGGGGCCAUGGAGAUAGGUGUUGAGCAAGGGUUGCUUAGUGUGGGAGAAGCUGCCUGAAGCCAGCGUCCAUGUUCCCUGCAAGUUCCUUUCUCUAGGAAUAUUCAGAGAACAACCUGGGUUUGGUGAGUUC